GAUUAGAUACCCUAUUAUUUUAAGCUAUAUAUUGGUAGUAAAUAUAAUUUAUGAAAUCAUAAAAUUUUGGCGGUAUUUUAAGCUUAUUAGAGGAAUUUGCCCUGUGAUGGAUACAACACCUGAAUCUUACUUAAUUUUGUUAUUCAAAUUCAGUUUGUAUACCACUAUAUUUAGAUAUAUUGAAUAGUUAUAUUUUAAAUUUUUUAUUCAAAAAAUAUAUUAAGUCAUGGUGCAACAAAUAAUUAUGAAUGAGGUGAAUUACAUUAAUUUUUAUGUUAUUUAUUUUUUGAAAAAAGAUUUUUAGGAUUUAAUAGUAAAAUAUUAAUAUUAUGAAUAUUUGAAUAGAGCUCUAAAAUAUGCACACAUCGCCCGUC
RNAcentral lists this ribosomal RNA (374 nucleotides) under Ixodes pacificus (western blacklegged tick). RNAcentral's name for it is "partial 12S ribosomal RNA". The record is from RNAcentral. Lineage: Eukaryota; Metazoa; Arthropoda; Arachnida; Ixodida; Ixodidae.